CCUACGGGUGGCAGCAGUGAGGAAUAUUGGUCAAUGGCCGUAAGGCUGAACCAGCCAAGUAGCGUGAGGGAAGACUGCCCUAUGGGUUGUAAACCUCUUUUAUGCGGGGAUAAAGGUGUCCACGUGUGGAUGUUUGCAGGUACCGCAUGAAUAAGGACCGGCUAAUUCCGUGCCAGCAGCCGCGGUAAUACGGAAGGUCCGGGCGUUAUCCGGAUUUAGUGGGUUUUAAGGGAGCGUAGGCCGGUCUUUAAGCGUGCCGCGAAAUUUUGUGGCUCAACCAUGAGAGUGCGGCGCGAACUGGAGACCGUGAGUGCGCGGAAGGCAGGCGGAAUUCGUGGUGUAGCGGUGAAAUGCUUAGAUAUCACGAAGAACCCCGAUUGCGAAGGCAGCCUGCCGCAGCGUUACUGACGCUGAAGCGCGAAAGCGCGGGUAUCGAACAGGAUUAGAUACCCCAGUAGUC
This 460-nucleotide ribosomal RNA is filed under the name uncultured bacterium. RNAcentral describes it as "partial 16S ribosomal RNA". It matches the Rfam family "Bacterial small subunit ribosomal RNA", at positions 338 to 795 of the family's 1533-position model. The record is from RNAcentral.